This 1755-nucleotide long non-coding RNA is filed under the name Nicotiana tabacum (common tobacco). RNAcentral's name for it is "long non-coding RNA (NTAB_LNC005598)". Lineage: Eukaryota; Viridiplantae; Streptophyta; Magnoliopsida; Solanales; Solanaceae. The record is from RNAcentral.
CUUCACUAACUUGUAAUACUAUAUUACAAGCCACUUUGUAAUAACUUUAUUACAAAGACUUUACAACUUGACUAACUCUAACCAAGACUCAAACACAAAGGUUUAAGGUUUACAAUGAGUUUCCUACAGAAUACUUCUAAACAAGCUAAGUAGGAAAUAUAGUUUAAUAACUGUUACAAAGUUACAACUCAACUAAGGACAUACAAUGACUUGUUGUGGGGAACUAGUUCGUAGUAGUGUUGUUCUUUGUUCUUGAUGCACUUGAGAAUUGAUUGCGUGAUGAUCAAUGACCGUGAGAGUGCUUGAAUGAAUUCUCUAAGUGAACCACUAAUUUGUUUUUACCUUCCUUAAUGUUAAUAGUGCAUUUGUGACAUCACUAAAAUGAUGUAAGCAAGGUAGGUAAAAGACACUCCCCAUAAAGUUGACUGCUGCACUGUUUCUGCAUUGUAGCGUGUGCAUGUAGCAACUUUACAGUUGGGGCAGUUGACUUCUACAAUUUCCUCGGGAAUGAUAGUUAUCCGUUCCCUCUGUUGUUCCUCUGGCUCUGAAGAGUCGAGACAUAUUCCAAGCUGGAACCUUUCGAUCUUAAGGUCUUGAGGAUAUGUAACCGGUUCCUUAUCUGGUUCUUGACAGUAAAUUUGUUAGAUCAUCAAAACAUAAAGCAAGGUACUUGUAACCUAUCAAGUCCCAAUAUGAUUAUGUUUUAGCCAUAACUAUAAGAACACAAAAGAGCUUCUGAGAACGUGCACCUUAUAUUUGAUAGAUGGUGAGGGUAUCAUAUCCAUUUGCAUCAAAAAAAUCAGAGGCAACAUAAAGAUCGAGAGUUGUUGACAUAUUCGACAUUUUUCUGAUCCAUUUCUCUGCAACCAUUUUGCAUAAAGUCACGUUGUACCUGUAAAUGAAAUAUAAUUCAUGCAGAGCUGGGGUCAUAUGAAAGAGAAAACUCAAAUAUAACUAUAAGAAACCAAAUUCUCAGGGUAGGAAUAGAGUGCCCAGAGUAGGAAGAAUACUUUCAUUCUUGCAGCCUCAAUUGCAUUUAGCAUGAUGAUACUCAUAUUUACUCCGUUAAUAUGGUAGUCCUUUUCACACCACUGCAGAAUGGUACACACUCAUCUCAAAAUACUUUUGUGAUUACAAUAUACAAAUGCGUGAACAAAAUUUUAACUUAUUAUAUUAAGAGGAAAGAUAGUACUGGAUCUUGUACUCCACACAUACUACAUAAAAAGCUAAAGAAAAAUUCAUUUUUGAGUCAUUAGUUCACUGCUGCUUCUAUGACCAAAAUUUGGUCUUUACCAAAUGAAAAUAAAUUGGUACGUUAACGUUUACCUUCAUGCAUAUCUGAUUUUACUUUAGAACUCUUAUAUCUCUGCUGCCACAUUAUAUGUCCUCCAACCAAAUUAAAGGUGGCGAGUAAGAUCAUUAGUUGUUGUAACUUCCUCCGGAAUCACUAAAAGGAAACACUUAUUUUCAUCUUCAGAGUGGGAAAAACAGAUGCAUAAAAAAUCAAGCACAGAGAAAGAAAAGUAAAGAAACCCAUGAUAAAUUAAGUCAAAAAUCAAUAAAGGAUACACACAAAAAAAAACGAAAUGAAAGAGGUGAAAAUUCCCAAAAUAAGAAUACAUACCUAUGAAUAAAUGAAAGAGCUUAACAGGAACGAAAGGUGAUGCUAUGAGUGAGACUUGAAGUGAAAUUUUGGUCAGGCGUUGAAGGCUAGAUAGCACUGCCAUGGAAGUUCUAAAAAUCUGGUUCCUGAAA